GAUGAACGCUGGCGGCGUGCUUAACACAUGCAAGUCGAACGAAGCACUUUAUUACAAUUUCUUCGGAAUGACGAUUUAGUGACUGAGUGGCGGACGGGUGAGUAACGCGUGGGUAACCUGCCUUAUACAGGGGGAUAACAGUUAGAAAUGACUGCUAAUACCGCAUAAGCGCACAGGAUUGCAUGAUCUGGUGUGAAAAACUCCGGUGGUAUAAGAUGGACCCGCGUCUGAUUAGCUGGUUGGUGAGGUAACGGCCCACCAAGGCGACGAUCAGUAGCCGACCUGAGAGGGUGACCGGCCACAUUGGGACUGAGACACGGCCCAGACUCCUACGGGAGGCAGCAGUGGGGAAUAUUGCACAAUGGAGGAAACUCUGAUGCAGCGACGCCGCGUGAGUGAAGAAGUAAUUCGUAUGUAAAGCUCUAUCAGCAGGAAGAUAGUGACGUACCUGACUAAGAAGCU
This 462-nucleotide ribosomal RNA is filed under the name uncultured bacterium. RNAcentral's name for it is "bacterial SSU rRNA". It matches the Rfam family "Bacterial small subunit ribosomal RNA", at positions 28 to 492 of the family's 1533-position model. The record is from RNAcentral.